GCCAAAGGAGGGAGUUUCAAUUGUAUUUAAGGGCCUAGGUGGCAGAGAGCCCUUACAGUGAGCCAGUGCCUCUUGAAAAGCAAGGUAUAGGAGAGGAAGGACAGAGAUUGCAGCAGAGGAAAGCAGAGUGGUGGCCUGCUUGGGGCCUGCUGGUCCAGUGGAGGGAGAGACAGACAGACAGAGAGUGCCUGUGGCUUACCUCCCUCUCUUCCCUGCUCCUUUUAAUUUGUAGUGCCAACAACAGCUUUUUCUUUCUUUCUUUUUUUAAAAUUGUACCAGCAGCCACAGUGGUUUUAACUGGGUGCUGCUUUGAAAUUUUUUUCUUGUGUGAAUUUCUUCUUAUUCUUGUAACCAGCUCCCAGUGGCUUUAAUAACUGGGUUACUACUACUGCUGUGUGCCUCGACUGGACUUCUUUUGGGGGUGGGGGUAGGCUGGUGUGCUGUGAUUUCUGUCUAGUGCCCAGCCUACCCAGGCUCUCUCUGUUUCCCUGGUGUUCCUUUUUUGUGUUUUUCCAGCUUUUAAAAAAAUUGGGUGGGUGGUGGGUGGGUGCCUGACUGGUACCCACUGGCCUUCCCACAAGCUGUUGAGUCUCAGCCCAAGUGCCUUGGGAAGCAACACCUAGACAGACUCCAGCAGAAGCGACUGAGAGGAGACACCAGAAGAAGGAACAAGGUGAUCGGUCUGAAGGAAGACAGGAUUGCUUUGCCUGUUCUGUUCCAAUGCCUCACUGCUAUUUUGUUAUGGAAUUUGAAGAAAAAGAAGAAAAGACGAAUAGAGAGGAGGAGGAGAUUUAUUUUUAGAGGAAAUUCUGAAUAAGAUGCUUCCUACUGACUUGCAGAUACCACAUUUUGCAUGGACAGUCCUGUCACUGAAUGCACUACCAAAAUACACUCAGGGAAAGGUUGAAACUUUUUAAAAAAAAUUAGAGGAAAUACUGAAUAAAAUACUUCC
Hemicordylus capensis (graceful crag lizard) is the source of this 952-nucleotide long non-coding RNA. RefSeq lists it as uncharacterized. NCBI's taxonomy places the organism in Eukaryota, Metazoa, Chordata, Lepidosauria, Squamata, Cordylidae. The record is from RefSeq and is a predicted model, not a curated record. The transcript is spliced from 3 exons.